UAACUGGCUGAUGCAUUUCAAGCAAGCUACAGCGCCGAAACUACCUUCAGAUAGUUAUUAUGGACAUAACUUUGUAGCAAAUAAAUUACUUGAAAGCGUCGUACUGUUUACCGAUUAUUCCUUGGUUCUGGCCAGUUAUUAUUACAGACAACAGUGAUACGCUGUUGAGACUUUGGCUGAGUUCGAUGUCUUUCGACGGAUACAGCUGCUGAAGUGAUCUGGGCUGGAGCAGAUGUGUUGAUUUGUACUGUGCGCGACGAGCUGUAUGUCUUCAACACACGAGCUGGAACUGACGGUAGACUGAAUCUCAAACCUUACACUUCGCCCACUUCAAUUUACUAAAGUUCCUUAGUCCAGUGGAUCAUUUGGUGCGGAGUGAGGACAAGCAGUGUGUCUGUGCUGUCUGUGAGAGUGAUGGGGUGUACUGUGUCAAUCUACCAACUCUGCACCCCAGGUCUCCCACUCCCCCAGCUGACCAGUCCCCUGGCCCUGCUCUAUUCAAAAUAUUGUCUAAUUCACUGGCAGUCAGAGACAAGGGUGUGUCUUCUCUGAUCAAGGUGGAGGGUCCGUCUCCCUGCGAAAUGCAGUCUGGGGGUUCAUUUUCUAUAACGCUGCUGACCAAUGGAAACUGACUGGAGUUUAGUCUGCCUGUCAUUACUGUUGGUCACCAUGAUGACUCAGAGGAAAAUGACAGCGCAGGAGUGGUCAUGCAACCUGUGUUGGCUUGUGUUUACAGCAGUGAUACACCAACAUCUUCAGCAACAACAACCACCAUUUUCAUCAUUAUCAUCAUCCUCACCUAGCGUUGGCCAUUUUCUCCUGGAGCCUCUCCUCUUCAAGCUCCUCUUCGGCUUCGAAGCUGCCCUCAUCAACUCCCCUAUGAUCCUUUGCAGCCUGCUUAAUGGGCGUCUUUGCUCCCUCCGGGAUGACCAGGCCUCCAUGUCAGAGUACUACACAGCCCGGAGCAGCCAAUCACUUUUAUUGUAACCUUAGCCAGGACAAAUGGUGGUCCACAGUGUUUGGUAUCAUUGGGCGACAGGGCAGGGUGGUGCUGGUCAGGACUUAUGAGGAGAUGCCGUAUGGGAGGAGUAAGGUAGCAAGCUUCACGCAGGGGUGUGUAUCGCGGCCUGUGGUGUGUGUGUUUGUGCGCAGGCAGGAAAGGCCUGUACUAUAGCACCGGCUCAGAUACUCUAGCCCUGGAUCUCCCAGGGGAGAGAGACACCUCCAAGCCCAUGAGAGAGACUGAUGGUAGGCCACUGUGAGUGGCAAGACCAGGGUCAGGCCAUGGAUAGACCCAGAGAGUAUGCUGUCCUGUCAGCCUGAAUGUCUGCAUGGUCAUCACCCUGGCUGGGCCUCUCACACAACGCCUCAGGUUGUGUGUGUUACAGGCACAGUUCAGCUGGUGGCAUUGUCUCUCAGAGGGAGGCUUCAGCUGUUGAGGUAACUGUAGGGGACACCAGUUUGAAGGAGGUUAAGGAGGCCGUGGAGGUGCAGUGUGUGGACUACACAUCAGCGGACCUGCCCUCCACAAUCUCAAGACCUCAACCCAUUUGGGAUGAGUUGGACUGCAGAGUGAAGGAAACGCAGCCAACAAGUGCUCAGCAUAUGUGAGAACUCCUUCAAGACUGUUGGAAAAGCAUUCCAGGUGAAGCUGGUUGAGAGAAUGCCAAGAGUGCAAAGCUGUCAUCAAGGCAAAGGGUGGCUACUUUGAAUAAUCUCAAAUUUAUUUUGAUUUGAUUAAUGCUUUUUUGGUUACUACAUGAUUCCAUGUGUUAUUUCAUAGUUUUGCGGUCUUCACUAUUAUUCUACAAUGUAGAAAAUAGUAAAAAUAAAGAAAAAUCCUGGAAUAAGUAGGUGUGUCCAAAAUUUGACUGGUACUUGCUUAAUUCAUUUAAUCAAUAUUAUGUUUGUUCUAUUCCAAGAAAAACCCUCUGGGUUUCCAUUAGGAGGGAAUGGAAAAUAAGGUGAUGUACAACGUGACGGUUGGUAGUACAGUACUGGGCUAUUUAGCUGUGGUUGCCGCCAGUUGUCUUUUAAAGUGAACCUUUAUUUGACUUGGCAAGUCAGGUAAGAACUAAUUCUUAUUUACAAUGAAGGCCUACCCCGGCAAAACCCGGAUGGCGCUGGGCCAACUGUGCACAGCCCUAUGGCACUCCCAAUCCCGGUCGGAUGUGAUACAGCCUGAAUUCGAACCAGGGACUGUAGUAAAGCCUCUUGUACCGAGAUGCAGUGCCUUAGACCAUCCCACAUACACUCCUCAUCCAUAACUUCUUCAUUCUCUGACACUGGUACCAUCCCACAUACGCUCCUCAUCCAUAUCAUCCUCAUUCUCUGACACCGGUACCAUCCCACAUACGCUCCUCAUCCAUAUCAUCCUCAUUCUCUGACACUGGUACCAUCCCACAUACGCUCCUCAUCCAUAUCAUCCUCAUUCUCUGACACUGGUACCAUCUCACAUACGCUUCUCAUCCAUAUCAUCCUCAUUCUCUGACACUGGUACCAUCUCACAUACGCUUCUCAUCCAUAUCAUCCUCAUUCUCUGACACUGGUACCAUCCCACAUACGCUCCUCAUCCAUAUCAUCCUCAUUCUCUGACACUGGUACCAUCUCACAUACGCUCCUCAUCCAUAUCAUCCUCAUUCUCUGACACUGGUACCAUCUCACAUACGCUCCUCAUCCAUAUCAUCCUCAUUCUCUGACACUGGUACCAUCUCACAUACGCUUCUCAUCCAUAACAUCCUCAUUCUCUGACACUGGUAUCAUCUCACAUACGCUUCUCAUCCAUAACAUCCUCAUUCUCUGACACUGGUUCCAUCCCACAUACGCUUCUCAUCCAUAACAUCCUCAUUCUCUGACACUGGUUCCAUCCCACAUACGCUCCUCAUCCAUAACAUCCUCAUUCUCUGACACUGGUACCAUCCCACAUACGCUUCUCAUCCAUAACAUCCUCAUUCUCUGACACUGGUACCAUCUCACAUACGCUUCUCAUCCAUAACAUCCUCAUUCUCUGACACUGGUAUCAUCUCACAUACGCUUCUCAUCCAUAUCAUCCUCAUUCUCUGACACUGGUACCAUCCCACAUACGCUCCUCAUCCAUAUCAUCCUCAUUCUCUGACACUGGUACCAUCUCACAUACGCUCCUCAUCCAUAUCAUCCUCAUUCUCUGACACUGGUUCCAUCCCACAUACGCUUCUCAUCCAUAUCAUCCUCAUUCUCUGACACUGGUACCAUCUCACAUACGCUCCUCAUCCAUAACAUCCUCAUUCUCUGACACUGGUACCAUCUCACAUACGCUCCUCAUCCAUAUCAUCCUCAUUCUCUGACACUGGUUCCAUCCCACAUACGCUUCUCAUCCAUAACAUCCUCAUUCUCUGACACUGGUAUCAUCUCACAUACGCUUCUCAUCCAUAACAUCCUCAUUCUCUGACACUGGUAUCAUCUCACAUACGCUUCUCAUCCAUAACAUCCUCAUUCUCUGACACUGGUAUCAUCUCACAUACGCUUCUCAUCCAUAACAUCCUCAUUCUCUGACACUGGUAUCAUCUCACAUACGCUUCUCAUCCAUAACAUCCUCAUUCUCUGACACUGGUAUCAUCUCACAUACGCUUCUCAUCCAUAACAUCCUCAUUCUCUGACACUGGUACCAUCCCACAUAUGCUUCUCAUCCAUAACAUCCUCAUUCUCUGACACUGGUAUCAUCUCACAGACUCUCCUCAUCUUCAUCCCCAAUACACUCUCCAACACAUCUCCUGUAAAGGAGAAAUUAAUGACUAUUUGUUUCCUCUGCUGUUUUUGUACCCCAAAAGCAUUUAUUUCUGUUAAAGUUGAAUGGUCAAGUCAUGUUUGCAAAUGUGUACAUACCAAGUGCUGCUGUAUAUUUUACAUGUGUUUUGUGUGCCUUUAUAAUGUAGCCUACCUGUAAAAUUGAAACAAUUAAUUUGAAUACCGUCACUUCACUGACAACACAUUAUCCACACACGAAACAUAUAUUUGACACAGAGAGAGAAUUUUUAUCAUUUUUUCAAAACGUUUCAG
Molecule: long non-coding RNA, 4035 nt
Organism: Oncorhynchus masou masou (cherry salmon)
Lineage: Eukaryota; Metazoa; Chordata; Actinopteri; Salmoniformes; Salmonidae
Exons: 3
Source: RefSeq, a predicted model, not a curated record